AACCUAUCAAUUAAGAAACGAACUCCACUUUUUGUAAAAAAAAUACCAGGAAUUAGGAAACAUGGCAAUAUGAAUCUUAAGGCUAAUCGAUAAAGAAUCUAAGGAAUAAAAAGGCCAACCGCAGGACGGUCGAGACUUAUUGCUCCAACUUACUCGAAAUUGCAGCUCAUCUUCCCUACGGAUUUACGGCGAAGAGCAAAAGAAAGCAUCGAAUGAGUGAGACGGAGAAGAGAAGCAGAGUGAGAUUGAGAACCAGGGAAAACAGUGAGACUAGGAAGAAAGCAUUAAAAAAAAUGUAAUUACCAACUUCAGACCUCGUACUUUUUAAGAUCGCAGGAAGUGCAGUGAAUUCUGGUUCUGGAGUGAUAAAAUUAAAAUUGAAGAACGGAGAGACGUCUGGUUGAAGAUGAAAUUAAAAUUACGUUAGGGUUAGUGGAUCUAAUAUUAUAUACAAAUAAAUAUUAUAAAAU
Molecule: long non-coding RNA, 470 nt
Filed under: Carica papaya (papaya)
Lineage: Eukaryota; Viridiplantae; Streptophyta; Magnoliopsida; Brassicales; Caricaceae
Description: long non-coding RNA (CPAP_LNC003267)
Source: RNAcentral